CUUUUCUUUGUUCUUCUUCGAUAAAUUUUUUUCCCUAUUAUCUGUCUUCAUCUUCUUCCUCUUCUGCCGUAAAAACUUCCCUGUGAACGGUCUCUCGGUCUAGGUCUCAAAUUGGUUCUUGUUAGCAUUUCUCAGGAUUGCAAAAUCAGAACCUCCACCGAUUUUGGAUUUGAAUUUAGUGAGUUUGAUGGGUUGUUUUUGGAUUACUCAUGGCAAUGUGAUAAACAGGACACCAUGGAAAAACUGUUGGAGCUGGCUGAGGUAGCACAUCUCAAAGAAAAAAUUGGCAAAAUGUAUAGCGGAGAACAUAUAAACAGCACUGAGGAUAGAUCUGUUCUCCAUGUGGCUCUACGUGCUCCAAGAGAUGUUGUUAUGUCCAGUGAUGGGAUAAAUGUAGUUCCAUAGGUUUGGAAGGUUUUCGACAAGAUCAACGAAUUCAGUGAAAAAUUUUCCGGUGGAUCUUGGGUAAUGCUAGUUUAAAUUUGUAUUGAUACGUCUUGAUUUUAAUCUUACACUUAUAAAUAUUGAUAGGAAAGUUUGAUAGACUGGAGCCACGGGGAAGGCAUUGAAAGAUGUUGUAGAUGUUGGAAUUCGAGUCUCGGUGAUUGGUUGCAAGAAGGUUUAAUUCACUCGCACUGUAAUUCUCUAAGUCGCAGAAAUCCUCAAGAUCAACCUGCGUGGUUUCGUGAUUGCCGAGUUGUGGAUGUUGUGAACAUGAUGCCCACUCCGAAAGGUGGAACCAUGGAGCUGCUAUACAUGCAGAUUUUUGAAUGUUUGAUAACUUCUCUAGUUGUAUUUCCCAACAACAUUGGCUCCUGCUCGUGACUUCUGGUUGCUGCGCUAUAAGAAGAGGAUGAUGUUGUAGUUAAUCCACUCGUUUUGAGUUUUAACAGUCUUGCAAAGCCAUCCCCUGCGAUUGAAACAUUUUGUACCAGCAUAUGAUCUUGAUAUGGACUUUGUUCUUGGUGUGGGAGGAUAUGAUCUGGAUAUGUUAGUUCCAGCAUUUGUUCUUCUCAUUCUAUACACGAAUAGGCUUCUCCUGGUUUUUCAUUUUACUUGCAGAUUCAUGUUCUUAACCGGUUAAAGAUAUUUCCACUUAGAUAUAAUCAUCUUUUUUGAACCAUUAUUUGUGUUUGUUAUGUUACAUUCAUAAUAUUUGAUGAGUUUUUGCUGCCAGCAUUUGUUUUAUAUAAGUUUCAGUCACUUUUUAGGUGAGUGCUAAUUACAAAAGGAUGCUAUUUUACUUUUGAUUGGAGAUAUUAGUUCGUUGUUUUGUAACGGAGGGUGAUUUCACAACUCUUUUUGUACCCCAAUCAUAUCUCCGUGAGCACAUUGUCAAUCUCCCUGAAAACUGAAACUAUCAUUUCUGUAUCUAUUUCCUUAAGCAGCUCGAACCUCGAAGACACUAACAUCUCCUAUGAACAUAGCUAAACGUCAUCUAAGAGAUGUGGAUUCAUUAUUUGUACACUUUUUAGGCCUUUAAGUCCACUAAUUUAUUUUGUUUUGAAACAGAAUUUAGGGGCUAAGAAUAGAGAAAAUAGUGCCAAAUAAACUGUUCAACACAGUGACACACUGGUGGUUCCAAGCCACAUGGAAUACUCAAAAUUGGGUCGAAUGGAGAUGUGGCAGCAUACUGGAAGUUCGAUGGAAAUUUUGAUGUCAUGUGCCAACGAUAUGGGCCUUAUCCCAAAUGUUCUAAUUGAGAAUUUCGACGAUGAUAGAUGGUAUGAAUCAAAUUGUAAGGAGUAAUAAAGGGUUGUUCUGGAGCAGGAGCAAUCAAAUACAUUUCUAGUGCACGAUUUACGUCCAAGUGGUGUACAACUUUGGUAGUCUGAGAACAUCACCUUUUGAUUGUUUUU
Molecule: long non-coding RNA, 1859 nt
Organism: Papaver somniferum (opium poppy)
Lineage: Eukaryota; Viridiplantae; Streptophyta; Magnoliopsida; Ranunculales; Papaveraceae
Exons: 9
Source: RefSeq, a predicted model, not a curated record